RNAcentral lists this ribosomal RNA (265 nucleotides) under uncultured prokaryote. RNAcentral's name for it is "partial 16S ribosomal RNA". It matches the Rfam family "Bacterial small subunit ribosomal RNA", at positions 524 to 788 of the family's 1533-position model. The record is from RNAcentral.
UACGUAGGUGACAAGCGUUGUCCGGAAUUAUUGGGCGUAAAGGGAGCGCAGGCGGUUGGAAUAGUCUGAUGUGAAAGCCCACGGCUUAACCGUGGAAGGUCAUUGGAAACUGGUCGACUUGAGUGCAGAAGAGGGAAGUGGGAUUCCAUGUGUAGCGGUGAAAUGCGUAGAGAUAUGGAGGAACACCAGUGGCGAAGGCGGCUUCCUGGUCUGUAACUGACACUGAGGCGCGAAAGCGUGGGGAGCAAACAGGAUUAGAUACCCG